UACGAAGGGGGCUAGCGUUGCUCGGAAUCACUGGGCGUAAAGCGCACGUAGGCGGAUUGUUAAGUCAGGGGUGAAAUCCUGGAGCUCAACUCCAGAACUGCCUUUGAUACUGGCGAUCUCGAGUCCGGGAGAGGGAUGUGGAAUUCCAGGUGUAGCGGUGAAAUGCGUAGAUAUCUGGAGGAACACCGGUGGCGAAGGCGGCAUCCUGGACCGGUAUUGACGCUGAGGCGCGAAAGCUAGGGGAGCAAACGGG
RNAcentral lists this ribosomal RNA (253 nucleotides) under uncultured bacterium. RNAcentral describes it as "partial 16S ribosomal RNA". It matches the Rfam family "Bacterial small subunit ribosomal RNA", at positions 524 to 776 of the family's 1533-position model. The record is from RNAcentral.